CACGGGGGGAGCAAGCGUUGUUCGGAAUCACUGGGCGUAAAGGGUGCGUAGGCGGCCCUGUAAGUCAGUGCUGAAAUAUCCCGGCUUAACCGGGAGGGUGGCAUUGAUACUGCAGGGCUUGAGUGAAGUCGAGGUAGGCGGAAUUGACGGUGUAGCGGUGAAAUGCUUAGAUAUCGUCAAGAACACCGAUAGUGAAGACAGCUUACUAGGCUUAUACUGACGCUGAGGCACGAAAGUGUGGGGAUCAAACAGG
Molecule: ribosomal RNA, 253 nt
Filed under: uncultured bacterium
Lineage: Bacteria
Description: partial 16S ribosomal RNA
Rfam family: Bacterial small subunit ribosomal RNA
Source: RNAcentral